UGAGGAACAUGACCUUCGGCGGGGGAUAGCCGGCCCAACGGCCGGGUAAUACCGCGUACGACCACAUGGGGACAUCCCUGAGUGGUGAAAGCAGCAAUGCGCCGAUGGAGUGCCUCGCGGCCUAUCAGCUAGUUGGUGUGGGUAAUGGCCCACCAAGGCGACGACGGGUAGCCGGCCUGAGAGGGUGACCGGCCACACUGGGACUGAGACACGGCCCAGACUCCUACGGGGAGG
RNAcentral lists this ribosomal RNA (234 nucleotides) under uncultured bacterium. RNAcentral's name for it is "partial 16S ribosomal RNA". It matches the Rfam family "Bacterial small subunit ribosomal RNA", at positions 118 to 348 of the family's 1533-position model. The record is from RNAcentral.